RNAcentral lists this ribosomal RNA (397 nucleotides) under uncultured bacterium. RNAcentral describes it as "partial 16S ribosomal RNA". It matches the Rfam family "Bacterial small subunit ribosomal RNA", at positions 523 to 918 of the family's 1533-position model. The record is from RNAcentral.
AUACGUAGGUGGCAAGCGUUGUCCGGAUUUAUUGGGCGUAAAGCGAGCGCAGGCGGUUUCUUAAGUCUGAUGUGAAAGCCCCCGGCUCAACCGGGGAGGGUCAUUGGAAACUGGGAGACUUGAGUGCAGAAGAGGAGAGUGGAAUUCCAUGUGUAGCGGUGAAAUGCGUAGAUAUAUGGAGGAACACCAGUGGCGAAGGCGGCUCUCUGGUCUGUAACUGACGCUGAGGCUCGAAAGCGUGGGGAGCAAACAGGAUUAGAUACCCUGGUAGUCCACGCCGUAAACGAUGAGUGCUAAGUGUUGGAGGGUUUCCGCCCUUCAGUGCUGCAGCAAACGCAUUAAGCACUCCGCCUGGGGAGUACGACCGCAAGGUUGAAACUUAAAGGAAUUGACGGGG